CACGUAGGGCGCAAGCGUUGUCCGGAAUUAUUGGGCGUAAAGAGCUCGUAGGCGGACUGUCACGUCUGCUGUGAAAAGCUGGGGCUUAACCCUGGCCUUGCAGUGGAUACGGGCAGACUAGAGGUAGGUAGGGGAGAGCGGAAUUCCUGGUGUAGAGGUGAAAUUCGUAGAUAUCAGGAGGAACAACAGUGGCGAAGGCGGCUGUCUGGCCCGAUACUGACGCUGAGGCACGAAAGCGUGGGGAGCAAACAGG
Molecule: ribosomal RNA, 253 nt
Filed under: uncultured bacterium
Lineage: Bacteria
Description: partial 16S ribosomal RNA
Rfam family: Bacterial small subunit ribosomal RNA
Source: RNAcentral